Molecule: ribosomal RNA, 77 nt
Filed under: Serpentinicella sp. ANB-PHB4
Lineage: Bacteria; Bacillati; Bacillota; Clostridia; Peptostreptococcales; Natronincolaceae
Source: RNAcentral
CGAACACAGCAGUUAAGCCCUUCAGCGCCGAUGGUACUUGGUGAGAGAUCGCCUGGGAGAGUAGGUCGUUGCGAUAC